This 71-nucleotide transfer RNA is filed under the name Vireo olivaceus (red-eyed vireo). RNAcentral describes it as "tRNA-Gln". It matches the Rfam family "tRNA". From Rfam's summary of the family: Transfer RNA (tRNA) molecules are approximately 80 nucleotides in length. Their secondary structure includes four short double-helical elements and three loops (D, anti-codon, and T loops). Further hydrogen bonds mediate the characteristic L-shaped molecular structure. tRNAs have two regions of fundamental functional importance: the anti-codon, which is responsible for specific mRNA codon recognition, and the 3' end, to which the tRNAs corresponding amino acid is attached (by aminoacyl-tRNA synthetases). tRNAs cope with the degeneracy of the genetic code in two manners: having more than one tRNA (with a specific anti-codon) for a particular amino acid; and 'wobble' base-pairing, i.e. permitting non-standard base-pairing at the 3rd anti-codon position. RNAcentral also lists the same sequence under 1 other name. Lineage: Eukaryota; Metazoa; Chordata; Aves; Passeriformes; Vireonidae. The record is from RNAcentral.
UAGAAAAUAAUACAAGGGAAGUAUGGAGGGCUUUGAUCCCUUUUGUGUAGGUUCGAUUCCUGCUUUUCUAA